This 2058-nucleotide unclassified non-coding RNA is filed under the name Cyanidioschyzon merolae strain 10D. RNAcentral's name for it is "hypothetical transcript". Lineage: Eukaryota; Rhodophyta; Bangiophyceae; Cyanidiales; Cyanidiaceae. The record is from RNAcentral.
AUGGGAGCUACUGGUGCUGCUCCGACUGCUAGAGGCGAAUGUUCUAUGGGAGCUACCGGUGCUGGUGUUACUGCUAGAGGCGAAUGUUCUAUCGGAGCUUCUGGUGCUGGUGCUACUGCUAGAGGCGUAUGUUCUGUGGGAGCUACUGGUGCUGGUGCUACUGCUAGAGGCGAAUGUUCUAUGGGAGCUACCGGUGCUGGUGUUACUGCUAGAGGCGAAUGUUCUAUGGGAGCUACUGGUGCUGGUGCUACUGCUACUGGUGCUACUGCUACUGGUACUGCUACUGAAAAAGUCAAACGCACGAAAGCAGUAUCGUUUGCGCUAUUGCUCUCCUCAUGGACAGAACGUUUGCAGAGACUAGAGAUAACCUAGUCUUAGAAGCAGAUCGGCCUCCGAGAGAGCGUCCAUUAUUCCAAGCUCUAGAUCCGAGUUCCACCAUAUCCUUUUCGUACUCUCCCUUGAAGUUAUUGGUCAUUCGUACGCUCUACAUCACACAAAGCCUGCCUUGAGCGUCUGCAAUAGCUCCUGUAGCACCAGAGCGUGUGCAGCACAGAGACCGAACGGUCUUCUCAUGCCACUGGGGCAUCGGUUCGAAAACUUGUUCACCAGAACCGUAAACUGGUGUCUUUGUUGUCCCUGUCGCCUUCUUCAUACUGGAAUGCAGGAGACGGCUCUUUCUGACUUAGUGCCGGAAGCAUCAACGUCAUGCUUGUCCGAUGGUUGUAAGCGCUGCGCGACGUCAACCGAACAUUCCGCUGCAUUGCAUGUUUGAUCGGAGCAGCUGGCGCACCGUAUACGCAAGUCGACCCUGGCUUGAUGCCGGAAUUCAUACCCAGAGCGCGCACCGCUCAUGCAAGCAACAAGCAAGUUGCCAGAAAACCCUAAUCAAUGAAUGAUGCGAGCGCUGGGCCCGGAAUACCGCGCAGGCAAAGUGAAUCGCGCCCGGGACACCGAAGCCUCAGGGAGGCGCUCCCUCGAAUCAGUACUGGUGAUGCAGAAAAGCCACCGUACGCGGGUUUUCAUGGUGGUGAGGUUUGUCGCUUUGGAGAGCGGUGGUUCUACCGUCCGACGGGCCCGCACUUCGUUGCCAUGCACAACGACGACAGCACAAACAUCAUGAUAGGCCGAAGCGCCUCGCCCGAACCCGUUUUCCAUGUAAUCCGAAUCGUUGCCGUCUUGCCGCCCCAGUACCGCAAGUCAAGGAGCACCCUGUGUGUGCACGCUCCUCAGUUGGCAGUGUUCCGAAACUUCGGGCUGGAUCACGUCAGGGUAUCGUGAAACCCUCCGGCCUUCGAGCGCGCGACCAUCGCGGCCUUGUGUCCAGUGCCCGUUCCACGCCUGCGAGGGAAUCAGAGAUUUCCCCAGCCGAAUGCUCCAUUCUAGACCAUAAGUCUGUGCGGGAGACGGUCGUUUCCACAAAUACCCUAGAGGGAAGCUGUGGACUCCGCUCUCACGACCGGCUGCGUCCGCGUACCCGCGCCAGUCCGUUUUAAUAGACAGCAUCCCGUCGUGCAUAAAAAUGCGAAAACGGCCCAUUGGAUUAUCCACUGGCUCAGACUAGAUACCUCGCUGUCCUCUGCGCGGCAACAACGUGUCCUACGUGCACGCGCGUGCGAAAGUGACGCAUAUGGCUAUGCACUGCCUCGUGCUCGACGUCUCGUUGUCGUGUCCAUGCGUACGAGCGACUCGUUAAUGCUUGAACACCGAGAACGGCUCGCAUGCCUCUCUUCUCUACAGCAGACUAGACGAUCUGCGCGCUCCGAUCUGUGUUCAGUGAAGAACGUAAUGCCCCACGACCACGGGGGGUAUGCAUAUACGGCGACUUGAAGACGCCUCCCAGCCUUUUUCGACCGGCCGCCUUCCAUCAGUUUCAGUUUAUCUGGGCACAUUUCGAGUCUGGGACGCUGCCCCACAAUGUUGGAUCACGUGAGCUACCAGGGACUGGCCUCCAGCACCGCAAAUCGUCUGAUAUCUGCAGCGGCGUUGAAGUAUCGGUUCACGAACUCUAUGCGCGUAUUGACGCGGGCUGAACGCGCCGCUGCAAGGAUGCCUAAAACU